Molecule: long non-coding RNA, 1384 nt
Organism: Aedes aegypti (yellow fever mosquito)
Lineage: Eukaryota; Metazoa; Arthropoda; Insecta; Diptera; Culicidae
Exons: 3
Source: RefSeq, a predicted model, not a curated record
CCACAUUUUGAUUAUCAUUCGGUUUUAGUCACUGGAACGAGAAGGUCGUCGGUUGAAGUGUUUGUGCAAGAUGGGUGUCGGAUCGUCUAAUCGAGGCAAAAGUAGUUCCUCCCAUCGCGGAGGAGGAAAUCGUCACCGUGGUUACAGUUCGCAGAAAUCUAGCUGGUCCCAGGCUCAUAUGGUUAGUUCUAGACCUGCAGCGCCAACUAACUUAAAUGUUAAUCGAGCCCUCGGAACGGCACUCUCAACGAACACUGGUCAAUGCCGGCAUCAGCAAAAGGCGACCACUCGAUCUACAGUUCAUCAUCUAUCGAAUUCAAGCAAACAAGUGAUCAUCUUACAAACUGAUCAACCUAUUGCGGGCGUACAAAUGAACCGACAUCCGAAAAACCUGCCGAAAUCAGCAAAUAGUAAUGGUGCCGCCGUGAAGUCGAAGCUUGAUAAUCGCAACAAAGAAUGCGGCGUGUGUGGCCAUACUGGGCACAGUACGGAACGGUGCCGCCAUCGUCACAACAGUUGCUACAUCUGUCAUGAGCCGGGUCACUUGGCAUCGGUGUGCACUCAAAAAUCGCACAACAUUGGCAGUCGUUAUCGACCGCGCGACUGAGCGAGAAUGGAUGCACUACAUCACAACCACUAUCUACGUUUUAGUUCUAAACGCGCAGUAUUAACGGAUGAACGUGAAAUGCAGCAGCAGCAGACAAAACCAGUAUGAUUCCGGAGAUCCUUAUCGUUAUUUUCAUAUGCAUAUUGCUAUGGCACAAAUACUUCAACUCGACCCUCGGCAGAGGCGAAUGUUCCGUAUGUGGCCAUCGUGGACACAGGCCCUCCGUUUGCUAUCACCGUAACAGAACCUGCGGAGUUUGUCUCCAGAGGGGCCACAUCAGCUCCGUUUGUACCACGAUUAUCGUGGCAGAGGAUUCUAGAAUUAGUCCUUCGUAUCUGUUGUAUUUCGUUAUAACGUGGAUUUUGUACAUUUUCCAAGAUGAUCGAGUGCCGGAAUAUCGAUGCCGAGCAUGCGGGAAACCAGAUCACACUUCUCGGAUGUGCCGAUACUCAAUCCGUAGAUGUCAUCGGUGUCGGGUGAAGGGACACAUAACGGCUGCUUGUCCAGGGUACCGGUGGUUUAGACGGAAUCGUUAUAGUUUUUACUGUGUCCUGUUCAUUGUUGCAUUUAUUUUCCUCGCUUGGGUUCAGUCCAAUAAUAAAGUUAGUUCAUAGUUUUGUUUUGUUCUCUGUUAACCAAAUAGUUUGACAACAUCCAAAUAAUGUUAACACAAUGUAGCUUACUGUACUUUAUCGACAUUAUAAAAAUAAUAGAAUAGAAUAUUAGAUUUGCUAGUUUCUACAGUGAAAAUAUCUGAAUAAACCGUUGAAAUAUAAA